CGACAACAAGAAACUGCCUUGA
This 22-nucleotide microRNA is filed under the name Danio rerio (zebrafish). RNAcentral describes it as "Dre-Mir-196-P4b_3p* (star (passenger))". The record is from RNAcentral. Lineage: Eukaryota; Metazoa; Chordata; Actinopteri; Cypriniformes; Danionidae.